AGCAGCCUAUGGCUUUGCAGCAGGAGCCAUUGCUUUCCUGGUCAUUAAUUCUUUCCUCAUGUUGAUUGCUGCAUAUCGGAACCUCGUUUUGCUAUUUCUCACUGCAAUCAUGGAGGUUUUACUGGUCUGUUUCCUGCUGUCUACCCUGCAGCGACUGCCAUACCAACUUGAAAUGGCCAUGCUUGCAGUCUUUUCAAUGAUCUGCAUGUACGGAGCACUGGCAUCAUUGGUUAACUGCAUGUUCUCACAGACACUGCUACCUAUGGGUCCAGCCUUAUUAAAGG
This is a long non-coding RNA of Myripristis murdjan (pinecone soldierfish), 284 nucleotides long. RefSeq lists it as uncharacterized. Lineage: Eukaryota; Metazoa; Chordata; Actinopteri; Holocentriformes; Holocentridae. The transcript is spliced from 3 exons. The record is from RefSeq and is a predicted model, not a curated record.